This 498-nucleotide ribosomal RNA is filed under the name uncultured bacterium. RNAcentral's name for it is "partial 16S ribosomal RNA". It matches the Rfam family "Bacterial small subunit ribosomal RNA", at positions 30 to 523 of the family's 1533-position model. The record is from RNAcentral.
AUUGAACGCUGGCGGCAUGCCUUACACAUGCAAGUCGAACGGUAACAGGUCUUCGGAUGCUGACGAGUGGCGAACGGGUGAGUAAUACAUCGGAACGUGCCCGAUCGUGGGGGAUAACGCAGCGAAAGCUGUGCUAAUACCGCAUACGAUCUACGGAUGAAAGCGGGGGAUCGCAAGACCUCGCGCGGACGGAGCGGCCGAUGGCAGAUUAGGUAGUUGGUGGGAUAAAAGCUUACCAAGACGCCGAUCUGUAGCUGGUCUGAGAGGACGACCAGCCACACUGGGACUGAGACACGGCCCAGACUCCUACGGGAGGCAGCAGUGGGGAAUUUUGGACAAUGGGCGCAAGCCUGAUCCAGCCAUGCCGCGUGCAGGAUGAAGGCCUUCGGGUUGUAAACUGCUUUUGUACGGAACGAAAAAGCUCUCUCUAAUACAGGGGGUGAAUGACGGUACCGUAAGAAUAAGCACCGGCUAACUACGUGCCAGCCGCCGCCGUAA